AUUGAACGCUGGCGGCAGGCCUAACACAUGCAAGUCGAGCGGCAGCACGGUCUUCGGACUGGUGGCGAGCGGCGGACGGCUGAGUAACGCGUAGGAACAUGCCCCAAAGUGAGGAAUAACUGCCCGAAAGGGUGGCUAAUGCCGCAUGUGGUCUUCGGACUAAAGCUUUAUGCGCUUUGGGAGUGGCCUGCGUCCGAUUAGCUUGUUGGUGAGGUAAUGGCUCACCAAGGCGACGAUCGGUAGCUGGUCUGAGAGGAUGAUCAGCCAGACUGGAACUGAGAACGGUCCAGACUCCUACGGGAGGCAGCAGUAGGGAAUUUUCCACAAUGGGCGAGAGCCUGAUGGAGCAACGCCGCGUGCAGGAUGAAUGCCUUCGGGUUGUAAACUGCUUUUAUGUGCGAAGAAUUUGACUGUAACACAUGAAUAAGGAUCGGCUAACUACGUGCCAGCAGCCGCCGUAA
Molecule: ribosomal RNA, 461 nt
Filed under: uncultured bacterium
Lineage: Bacteria
Description: partial 16S ribosomal RNA
Rfam family: Bacterial small subunit ribosomal RNA
Source: RNAcentral